Molecule: unclassified non-coding RNA, 336 nt
Filed under: soil metagenome
Description: partial contains 5.8S ribosomal RNA, internal transcribed spacer 2, and large subunit ribosomal RNA
Rfam family: 5.8S ribosomal RNA (bases 1-120)
Source: RNAcentral
GAUGAAGAACGCAGCGAAAUGCGAUAAGUAAUGUGAAUUGCAGAAUUCAGUGAAUCAUCGAAUCUUUGAACGCACAUUGCGCCCGCCAGUAUUCUGGCGGGCAUGCCUGUUCGAGCGUCAUUUCAACCAUCAAGCCCCCGGCUUGUGUUGGGGACCUGCGGCUGCCGCAGGCCCUGAAAACCAGUGGCGGGCUCGCUGUCACACCGAGCGUAGUAGAUUUUCAUCUCGCUCAGGGCGUGCUGCGGGUUCCGGCCGUAAAAAGCCUUAUUUACCCAAGGUUGACCCCGGAUCAGGUAGGAAGACCCGCUGAACUUAAGCAUAUCAAUAAGCGGAGGA